GUAGCCUAGUGCUUAGAAGGGGGAGGCAGGUAGCCUAGUGCUUAGAAGGGGGAGGCAGGUAGCCUAGUGCUUAGAAGGGGGAGGCAGGUAGCCUGGUGGUUAGAGGGGGGAGGCAGGUAACCUAGUGGUUAGAGCGCUGGCACUAGUAACCGCUAGAUCAAAUCCCAGGGCUGACAAGGUAAACAUCUGUCGUUCUGCCCCUGAACAAGGCAGUUAACCCACUGUUCCUAGGCCGUCGUUGAAAAUAAGAAUUUGUUCUUAACUGACUU
Oncorhynchus tshawytscha (Chinook salmon) is the source of this 269-nucleotide long non-coding RNA. NCBI's taxonomy places the organism in Eukaryota, Metazoa, Chordata, Actinopteri, Salmoniformes, Salmonidae. The record is from Ensembl.